GGGAUUCCCAUAGUAACGGCGAGUGAAAUGGGAAAAGCCCAGCGCUGAAUCCGAGGGUCGGCAACGGCCCUUGGAGCUGUAGCGUGAAGGUGGUUCUAAUUCGUGCGGCAACCUGGCGUAAGUUCUCCUGAGUGAGGCUCCAUGCCAUGGAGGGUGCAAGCCCCGUAUCGCCGGGUGCCUGUGCGAAUAUAAGACUACCAGAGAGUCGCCUUGUUUGCGAGUACAAGGUGAAGUCGGUGGUAAACGCCAUCGAAGGCUAAAUAUGACCACGAGUCCGAUAGCGAACAAGUACAGUGAUGGAAAAUUGAAAAGAACUUUGAAGAGAGAGUGAAACAGUGCGUGAAACCGCUCAGAGGCAAGCAGAUGGGGCCUCGAAGGUAGAGCAGCGAAUUCAGUUGGUAGUCCGUGAGCCUGGCGGGAUGUGAGAUUGCAAAACUCUGCCUGUCAGCGCAUAGCGGCUGCUAAUGCACUUUCGCUGUUUGUACGCCACCGCCGUUGACGCGUACAUCCGUCGAGCCCGCAUGUGGAGCCUGAUUCCUUCGGGAGUCGGUGUCUCACGGUGGGUAAGGCGCGCUUGUCCGACAACCGGUAUGGAUGGCUGCGUUGGGUUGAGCGCUCAUUUGCGGCGUAGUGGAUGACGAACGCAAGUUCGGCUCUGCUGCACGUGAUUGAAUCGCGGAAACUUUCAGCGUGGCUCAUUCGGUGGCGAGUAGAUGGCUGCCCAUCUAACCCGUCUUGAAACACGGACCAAGGAGUUCAACAUGCGCGCUAGUUGUUGGGUUACCCGAAACCCGCAAGCGAAGUGAAAGCAAGUCACGGCUCUGCCGUGUAUUUGGCGAGAUCCCGUAACUUGGCGGUGUAAAAGCCGUCGAGCCGGGCGCACCGCCGGCCCAUCAUAAGCUCACGUGGCUGUGGUGGCGCUUGAGCGUGCACGUUGAGACCCGAAAGAUGGUGAACUAUGCCUGGACAGGGCGAAGCCAGGGGAAACUCUGGUGGAGGCCCGUAGCGAUUCUGACGUGCAAAUCGAUCGUCUGAUCUGGGUAUAGGGGCGAAAGACUAAUCGAACCAUCUAGUAGCUGGUUCCCUCCGAAGUUUCCCUCAGGAUAGCUGGCACUCGGAGAACGUAGUCUCUCCCGAUAAAGCGAAUGAUUAGAGGUCUUGGGGUCGAAACGACCUCAACCUAUUCUCAAACUUUGAAUGGGAGAGUGUCUGGCUUGCUUAAAUGCAAUGAAGUCCGGACGUUGGAUACGAGCGCCUAGUGGGCCACUUUUGGUAAGCAGAACUGGCGCUGUGGGAUGAACCGAACGUUGAGUUAUGGCGCCCGACGAGACGCUCAUGAGAUCCCAGAAAAGGUGUUGGUUGCUAUAGACAGCAGGACGGUGGCCAUGGAAGUCGGAAUCCGCUAAGGAGUGUGUAACAACUCACCUGCCGAAGCAACUAGCCCUGAAAAUGGAUGGCGCUAGAGCGUCUGGCCUAUACUCGACCGUUGCAGCAGCUGAGCAACGCUAAAAAAGUCAAGCUGCAACGAGUAGGAGGGUCGCGGCGGUGGCGUCGAAGGCUUACGGGCGUGAGCCCGGCUGGAGCCGCCGUCGGUGCAGAUCUUGGUGGUAGUAGCAAAUACUCAAGCGAGAACCUUGAGGACUGAAGUGGAGAAGGGUUCCAUGUGAACAGCAGUUGAACAUGGGUCAGUCGACCCUAAGCCAUCGGCGAAAGCCGUUCAGAAGCGGUGUGGAUAGUGGCACUUGUUGUCACUGGUCUGUGUUGUGAUUUCUGCC
Molecule: ribosomal RNA, 1775 nt
Filed under: Apodibius confusus
Lineage: Eukaryota; Metazoa; Tardigrada; Eutardigrada; Parachela; Doryphoribiidae
Description: LSU rRNA
Rfam family: Eukaryotic large subunit ribosomal RNA
Source: RNAcentral